RNAcentral lists this ribosomal RNA (440 nucleotides) under uncultured bacterium. RNAcentral describes it as "partial 16S ribosomal RNA". It matches the Rfam family "Bacterial small subunit ribosomal RNA", at positions 338 to 795 of the family's 1533-position model. The record is from RNAcentral.
CCUACGGGAGGCAGCAGUGGGGAAUAUUGGACAAUGGGGGGAACCCUGAUCCAGCGACGCCGCGUGAGUGAAGAAGUAUUUCGGUAUGUAAAGCUCUAUCAGCAGGGAAGAAAAUGACGGUACCUGACUAAGAAGCCCCGGCUAACUACGUGCCAGCAGCCGCUGUAAUACGUAGGGGGCAAGCGUUAUCCGGAUUUACUGGGUGUAAAUGGAGCGUAGACGGUGCAGCAAGUCUGAUGUGAAAGAUCGGGGCCCAACCCCGGGACUGCAUUGGAAACUGUUGAACUGGAGUACAGGAGAGGUAAGCGGAAUUCCUAGUGUAGCGGUGAAAUGCGUAGAUAUUAGGAGGAACACCAGUGGCGAAGGCGGCUUACUGGCCUGUAACUGACGUUGAGGCUCGAAAGCGUGGGGAGCGAACAGGAUUAGAUACCCCUGUAGUC